This 253-nucleotide ribosomal RNA is filed under the name uncultured bacterium. RNAcentral's name for it is "partial 16S ribosomal RNA". It matches the Rfam family "Bacterial small subunit ribosomal RNA", at positions 524 to 776 of the family's 1533-position model. The record is from RNAcentral.
UACGUAGGGGGCAAGCGUUACCCGGAUUCACUGGGCGUAAAGCGGGUGUAGGCGGCUCGGUAAGUCGGGUGUGAAAUUCCACGGCUCAACCGUGGAAUUGCGCCCGAAACUGCUGAGCUUGGGGCCGGUAGAGGGAGACGGAACUGACGGUGUAGGGGUGAAAUCCGUAGAUAUCGGCAGGAACGCCGGUGGGGAAGCCGGUCUCCUGGGCCGCGCCCGACGCUGAGGCGCGAAAGCUAGGGGAGCAAACCGG